GACGGAAGGUGCAAGCGUUGCUCGGAAUCACUGGGCGUAAAGGGCGCGUAGGCGGCCGUGCAAGUCUGGCGUGAAAGCCCCGGGCUCAGCCCGGGAAGUGCGCUCGAAACUGCGCGGCUCGAGUGCCGGAGGGGAGAGUAGAAUUCCUGGUGUAGCGGUGAAAUGCGUAGAUAUCAGGAGGAAUACCGGUGGCGAAAGCGACUCUCUGGACGGCAACUGACGCUGAGGCACGAAAGCGUGGGGAGCAAACAGG
This 253-nucleotide ribosomal RNA is filed under the name uncultured bacterium. RNAcentral's name for it is "partial 16S ribosomal RNA". It matches the Rfam family "Bacterial small subunit ribosomal RNA", at positions 524 to 776 of the family's 1533-position model. The record is from RNAcentral.